GCUGGGCGUGGUGGUGCAUGCCUGUAAUCCCAGCUACUUGGGAGGCUGAGGCAGGAGAAUCGCUUGAACCCGGGGAGGCAGAGGUUGUGGUGAGCCGAGAUCACGCCACUGCACUCCAGCCCGGGCAACAGAGCAAAACUCUGUCUCAA
Pongo abelii (Sumatran orangutan) is the source of this 149-nucleotide unclassified non-coding RNA. It matches the Rfam family "Metazoan signal recognition particle RNA". From Rfam's summary of the family: The signal recognition particle (SRP) is a universally conserved ribonucleoprotein. The record is from Ensembl. NCBI's taxonomy places the organism in Eukaryota, Metazoa, Chordata, Mammalia, Primates, Hominidae.